Molecule: ribosomal RNA, 1011 nt
Filed under: human gut metagenome
Description: bacterial LSU rRNA
Rfam family: Bacterial large subunit ribosomal RNA
Source: RNAcentral
CCCAGUAAACGGCGGCCGUAACUAUAACGGUCCUAAGGUAGCGAAAUUCCUUGUCAGGUAAGUUCUGACCCGCAUGAAAGGCGUAAUGAUUUGGGCACUGUCUCAACAGCCCGCCCGGCGAAAUUGUAGUACCGGUGAAGAUGCCGGUUACCCGCGACAAGACGGAAAGACCCCAUGGAGCUUUACUGUAGCCUAAUAUUGGGUUUCGAUGUUGCAUGCACAGGAUAGAUGGGACACAGGGAAACAGGAGCUUUGGCUUCUGCGGAGUGGCCGUUGGGAUACCAUCCUUGCGAUAUUGGAAUUCUAACCUGCGGCUCUGAAUCGAGUCGGGGGACAUUGUUAGGUGGGCAGUUUGACUGGGGCGGUCGCCUCCUAAAAAGUAACGGAGGCGUUCAAAGGUUCGCUCAGCUUGAACGGAAAUCAAGCAAAAGAGUGCAAACGCAGAAGCGAGCCUAACUGCGAGACUGACGGGUCGAGCAGUAACGAAAGUUGGAGUUAGUGAUCCGGUGGUAUGUGAGUGGAAAUGCCAUCGCUCAACGGAUAAAAGUUACCCUGGGGAUAACAGGCUGAUCUCCCCCAAGAGUCCACAUCGACGGGGAGGUUUGGCACCUCGAUGUCGGCUCAUCGCAUCCUGGGGCUGUAUUCGGUCCCAAGGGUUUGGCUGUUCGCCAAUUAAAGCGGUACGCGAGCUGGGUUCAGAACGUCGUGAGACAGUUCGGUCCCUAUCUGUCGUGGGCGCAGGAUAUUUGAUGGGAGCUGUCCCUAGUACGAGAGGACCGGGACGGACGUACCUCUGGCGCACCAGUUGUUCCGCCAGGAGCAUAGCUGGGCAACUACGUACGGAUCGGAUAAACGCUGAAAGCAUCUAAGCGUGAAGCCGACCCAAAGAUAAGAUAUCCCAUUGUUUUAAACAAGUAAGACCCCUUGAAGACUACAAGGUUGAUAGGCACGAUGUGUAAGUGGAGCGAUCCAUUCAGCAAGCGUGUACUAAUAGGUCGAGGGCUUGACCAC